Molecule: unclassified non-coding RNA, 277 nt
Filed under: Hevea brasiliensis (rubber tree)
Lineage: Eukaryota; Viridiplantae; Streptophyta; Magnoliopsida; Malpighiales; Euphorbiaceae
Source: RNAcentral
CAUUUUCUAUAGCUUAGCCUAUAAUGUAUUGGGCUCUGAGUCACAGACUAAGUAUAUGAAUUUUCUUGAGGCAGCUUUCUUCUCUAACCAGACAGUCUACAAUGUUCAGUCACAGUGUUCUCCUGACUUCACAUUUUCCCUUCCACUAGAUUUUGGUUCUGUCGCUGUUCAGCAAGAGAUAAGUUGUGUAAAAGGUUUACACUUGUGGCGUAAUAGUUCUCAUGAGAUCAAUGAUGAACUGCAUAAGGGUUACAUGAACGGGAAUCCAGAGAGAAAG